This 646-nucleotide ribosomal RNA is filed under the name uncultured bacterium. RNAcentral describes it as "bacterial SSU rRNA". It matches the Rfam family "Bacterial small subunit ribosomal RNA", at positions 55 to 692 of the family's 1533-position model. The record is from RNAcentral.
AUGCAGUCGAGGGGCAGCAUCAUCAAAGCUUGCUUUGAUGGAUGGCGACCGGCGCACGGGUGAGUAACACGUAUCCAACCUGCCGACAACACUGGGAUAGCCUUUCGAAAGAAAGAUUAAUACCGGAUGGUAUAGUUUUCCCGCAUGGGAUGAUUAUUAAAGAAUUUCGGUUGUCGAUGGGGAUGCGUUCCAUUAGGCAGUUGGCGGGGUAACGGCCCACCAAACCUACGAUGGAUAGGGGUUCUGAGAGGAAGGUCCCCCACAUUGGAACUGAGACACGGUCCAAACUCCUACGGGAGGCAGCAGUGAGGAAUAUUGGUCAAUGGACGAGAGUCUGAACCUGCCAAGUAGCGUGAAGGAUGACUGCCCUAUGGGUUGUAAACUUCUUUUAUACGGGAAUAAAGUGAGCCACGUGUGGCUUUUUGUAUGUACCGUAUGAAUAAGGAUCGGCUAACUCCGUGCCAGCAGCCGCGGUAAUACGGAGGAUCCGAGCGUUAUCCGGAUUUAUUGGGUUUAAAGGGAGCGUAGGCGGGUUGUUAAGUCAGUUGUGAAAGUUUGCGGCUCAACCGUAAAAUUGCAGUUGAUACUGGCGACCUUGAGUGCAACAGAGGUAGGCGGAAUUCGUGGUGUAGCGGUGAAAUGCUUA